RNAcentral lists this non-coding RNA (20 nucleotides) under Mus musculus (house mouse). Lineage: Eukaryota; Metazoa; Chordata; Mammalia; Rodentia; Muridae. The record is from RNAcentral.
UUCUACCAUGUGGCUCCUGG